GUAACAAGGUCUCCGUUGGUGAACCAGCGGAGGGAUCAUUACUGAGUUUACGCUCUACAACCCUUUGUGAACAUACCUAUAACUGUUGCUUCGGCGGGUAGGGUCUCCGCGACCCUCCCGGCCUCCCGCCUCCGGGCGGGUCGGCGCCCGCCGGAGGAUAACCAAACUCUGAUUUAACGACGUUUCUUCUGAGUGGUACAAGCAAAUAAUCAAAACUUUUAACAACGGAUCUCUUGGUUCUGGCAUCGAUGAAGAACGCAGCGAAAUGCGAUAAGUAAUGUGAAUUGCAGAAUUCAGUGAAUCAUCGAAUCUUUGAACGCACAUUGCGCCCGCCAGCAUUCUGGCGGGCAUGCCUGUUCGAGCGUCAUUUCAACCCUCAAGCUCUGCUUGGUGUUGGGGCCCUACAGCUGAUGUAGGCCCUCAAAGGUAGUGGCGGACCCUCUCGGAGCCUCCUUUGCGUAGUAACUUUACGUCUCGCACUGGGAUCCGGAGGGACUCUUGCCGUAAAACCCCCAAUUUUCCAAAGGUUGACCUCGGAUCAGGUAGGAAUACCCGCUGAACUUAAGCAUAUC
Molecule: ribosomal RNA, 572 nt
Filed under: Colletotrichum sp. NFCCI 1925
Lineage: Eukaryota; Fungi; Ascomycota; Sordariomycetes; Glomerellales; Glomerellaceae
Description: eukaryotic LSU rRNA
Rfam family: 5.8S ribosomal RNA (bases 214-367)
Source: RNAcentral